Molecule: long non-coding RNA, 120 nt
Organism: Mustela erminea (ermine)
Lineage: Eukaryota; Metazoa; Chordata; Mammalia; Carnivora; Mustelidae
Exons: 3
Source: RefSeq, a predicted model, not a curated record
UCAACAAAUGGUGUUGGGAAGAUUGGACAGCCACAUUCAGAAGAAUGAAAUGACCAUUUCCUUACACCACAUGCAAGAAGAGACUCAAACUGGAUGAAAGACCUCAAUGGGAGAAAGGAA